CAGAGUUGCAAAACUCCCUAAACCCACUGUGAAUCUACCUGUUUUUUAGCUACUUCGGCAGGCGGCCCCAGGGCGGGGCCAUUAGCCUUUUAGGUGCCUGCCAGAGUAUAACUCUUGUUGCAACUGUACUACUCUGAGUUUCAAAAACAAUUAAGUUA
This 158-nucleotide unclassified non-coding RNA is filed under the name uncultured Sordariomycetes. RNAcentral's name for it is "sequence contains ITS1". The record is from RNAcentral. Lineage: Eukaryota; Fungi; Ascomycota; Sordariomycetes.